RNAcentral lists this ribosomal RNA (522 nucleotides) under uncultured bacterium. RNAcentral describes it as "bacterial SSU rRNA". It matches the Rfam family "Bacterial small subunit ribosomal RNA", at positions 344 to 857 of the family's 1533-position model. The record is from RNAcentral.
GGAGGCAGCAGUAGGGAAUCUUCCACAAUGGGCGAAAGCCUGAUGGAGCAACGCCGCGUGGGUGAAGAAGGUCUUCGGAUCGUAAAACCCUGUUGUUAGAGAAGAAAGUGCGUGAGAGUAACUGUUCACGUUUCGACGGUAUCUAACCAGAAAGCCACGGCUAACUACGUGCCAGCAGCCGCGGUAAUACGUAGGUGGCAAGCGUUAUCCGGAUUUAUUGGGCGUAAAGGGAACGCAGGCGGUCUUUUAAGUCUGAUGUGAAAGCCUUCGGCUUAACCGAAGUAGUGCAUUGGAAACUGGGAGACUUGAGUGCAGAAGAGGAGAGUGGAACUCCAUGUGUAGCGGUGAAAUGCGUAGAUAUAUGGAAGAACACCAGUGGCGAAAGCGGCUCUCUGGUCUGUAACUGACGCUGAGGUUCGAAAGCGUGGGUAGCAAACAGGAUUAGAUACCCUGGUAGUCCACGCCGUAAACGAUGAAUGCUAAGUGUUGGAGGGUUUCCGCCCUUCAGUGCUGCAGCUAACG